AGGUCAUAGUGAUCCGGUGGUUCUGCAUGGAAGGGCCAUCGCUCAACGGAUAAAAGGUACUCCGGGGAUAACAGGCUGAUACCGGCCAAGAGUUCAUAUCGACGGCGGUGUUUGGCACCUCGAUGUCGGCUCAUCACAUCCUGGGGCUGAAGUAGGUCCCAAGGGUAUGGCUGUUCGCCAUUUAAAGUGGUACGCGAGCUGGGUUUAGAACGUCGUGAGACAGUUCGGUCCCUAUCUGCCGUGGGCGCUGGAGAAUUGAGGGGGGCUGCUCCUAGUACGAGAGGACCGGAGUGGACGCAUCACUGGUGUUCGGGUUGUCAUGCCAAUGGCACUGCCCGGUAGCUAAAUGCGGAAGAGAUAAGUGCUGAAAGCAUCUAAGCACGAAACUUGCCCCGAGAUGAGUUCUCCCUGAGACUUUAAGUCUCCUGAAGGAACGUUAAAGACGAUGACGUUGAUAGGUCGGGUGUGUAAGCGCAGCGAUGCGUUGAGCUAACCGAUACUAAUGAACCGUGAGGCUUAACCUUACAACGCCGAAG
Molecule: ribosomal RNA, 536 nt
Filed under: Enterobacter cloacae subsp. cloacae
Lineage: Bacteria; Pseudomonadati; Pseudomonadota; Gammaproteobacteria; Enterobacterales; Enterobacteriaceae
Description: bacterial LSU rRNA
Rfam family: Bacterial large subunit ribosomal RNA
Source: RNAcentral